This 408-nucleotide long non-coding RNA is filed under the name Capsicum annuum. RNAcentral's name for it is "long non-coding RNA (CANN_LNC004303)". Lineage: Eukaryota; Viridiplantae; Streptophyta; Magnoliopsida; Solanales; Solanaceae. The record is from RNAcentral.
CAUUGAUGAGAUUUUAACUAGUACAUAACUACAUAUUACAGUACAGAAACCCAACAUGUUCUCCCUCCCUUCACAUGGAAUUACUACGAGGAGAACUGAAAUUUAAGUUUAUAAUAAAGUACUUAAAAGUAAUAUUUUAUAUAUGAUCAUCCCAAGCAGAUACAAUAUUUUCCUUUAGACCCCGUUGCACAUGUCGCACUUUGGUAUUUGUCCUUCAAGAUUUUCUUGCAUGCUGCUAUACAUGCAGGCAGUGUACAUGGAUUUAUAUUAACUCCAAAAGCACUCUCCACCUUAAUUGGAUCACAAAUAAUUAAGGCCAUAAUCACCAUCAUUAGCACUAAUUCACUGUUCCUUAAUCCCUUUGCUUCCAUUUCUAACUAGUACUAAUUGCUUUCUCUUUUCUUUUAU